Molecule: non-coding RNA, 4757 nt
Organism: Struthio camelus australis
Lineage: Eukaryota; Metazoa; Chordata; Aves; Struthioniformes; Struthionidae
Source: RefSeq, a predicted model, not a curated record
UGCUGCAAGUGAUUUCAGAAGAUAAUAGCAGCCUUCACAGAUCUCAAUGAACUGAAGUUAUAUUUUCAUAUAUAUGUACAUAUGCAUACAUUUUAGAGAACAUAUAAAGCAUAAUAUGAGCCAUGCCUGCUCAGAGAGGAGGUGUGCAUAUGGUGCGUGUCCUGUUGGGCCUGUUAGCAGCUGGUGUGUCACAGAGGUGCCUAUUCAAGUGCAGACGAAAUGAUCCUUGUGUCGUGUAUGUUAUCUUUCUUAGGACAAAGUGUCCAGCUGGAAAGGCUUCAGCUAUUCAGGAGGAGGCCUUGACUGCUGCACUUGAGCUCCAGACGCGACCGAAACACGGACCUCUCUUCAGAUAAAGGUACUUCUGUAGUACGCUCAGCUGCGUGUGUUUUAUCUUGUGGUCUGAAGGUGUCCUUUAUUUUUCCCCUCUGUCUCGUGCCUCUACGCUUUCUAUCUUCCCAGUUCUAGAAAUCUUAUGUAAAAAUAUUGGAAAAUAAACUUACUGUAGGAUAUGAAGUACUUAGCCUGCAAAAGAAGCAGCAACCAAGCCUGUGCAAAUGGUCUCCUGGUAGCGUAGGUUUUAAUGGUGUAGAUGUAUGCAGGUGAAGGGGACGCUUCGAAGGAUAAGCUUCUGUAAAAAGGUGAAUUUUGCACUCUUUAUAACCUUCCCUCCUGCCCCCCCCCCCUUUUUUUUAUCUUCUGCUAGAAGAUUAUCCUUUUUCAAGGGUCCUGACAGUUAGUAAGGCCUGGUCGUGACUGCUGUGCAAUGCUACUGUCUGUCUCGUGGGUGUCUUGGCAUUAACAUAGCUCCUUACUCCAAAGGAUCUUAAAGAAUCAGGUGGGGGUCUAGAAACAGGACGACGAAAGAGGCUUUGAUCGUUCUUGUGGUAGAUGGAUAGAAAAUCCAGCUCUGCUUCAGUUGUGCAUGUUGUUCAGCAGAAGCUUAGCUCUUACUGAUGUUCAGGUUAGCAGGAGGAAUGACUGGUGCUCAUCCUGUAGAUACUGCAUGUGUCAGGGUUGGUAGGUCUGGAAGGGACUGGGCCAAUAAACAUGACGUAAAAUAGAUAAUUUAUUUGUUUCUUGACAGUCCAAUCCUACCCACGGAGCAGGCUCCCAGUAAUACCCCGGUUCUUGGCACUGCUCUGGCAGCUGGAGCAUGGAUCCUCUCAACGGAGGAGAGAAUCCCGGUCUUGGCUUGCUCUGCUAAGUGUUACCAUAUUUCUUCUAACUUCCAUUUCCUCUGGGCUGAGUUUCAGCUAAGGUUUUUUUUCUUCCAGAUGCUUAUAUCUCACAGGCAUUCGGUUACUUGUGAUGGAGCUCGUUGAACCAGCUGCGAAGGUGGUGUAUGUUCAAACACGGAUGUCAACUUGGUAGCAUUGGAAACUGUAGUCCCAGAUCUUGAAAUAGAGGAGGAGCAAGUGAUUGCAGCACUUCACACAUCCCUGUGGACAGUAAAAAUCACCGUCUGUUCUCUACAGUCUAUUCAAAAGGAAAACUAUAGUGAACUAAUAGUAUACCACCCCCUUCAGCUGUGUCUUAUUUGGGGUUAAGUAAUAUGUAUGGCAUUGAAAAACACAGAUCAAGCCCUAUUUAUCUUGGAGAGCUGUUUGUCCUCAGCCAUAGAUUGUUCACAGCGUUCAACAAAUGUCGUUAAAGGGUCCUCCGCCCUACUGUAUGAGCAGCGUGGCAUGCAACAUGGAAUAAGUGUGCUAAUACACACUAAUAAUACAAUGAAAUAUUAAUACCAAACCCUGACCUUUGUUUCCUGAGCAGAUUGGAAGGGCUGUUGUCUCCUGUCGAUGUGGUUUCUCCUGUGAUGCUCUGCCUGUGGGAGGUUGCUGGCAGCAUGGGGAUAAAUCGAGGAGAAUCAUUUCACCGCCCGUGCUAACAGCCAACAGGGGCAGGAGUACGUGGCUGUCGACGUUGCCUUCAAAUACGGGCGUCUUGGUUAGAGGAGCAGUUGAGCUCCAACGGACCCCGAAGUGCCCAGGUAUCAGUUUACCCACAUAACGUGAAUCUCCUGAAUACCUUGUCGGGAGACCAGAUUUGGGCUCCCUCACUGCUUUUUCCUAAAUCGCUUUGUGCUUUCUCUAUACUGACAAUGCUCGAAAGCACGUGCAGAGCUGUGAGAGCUCAAACGGCUUCCAAGCGUUGGUCACACAAACGGCGAAUGUUUGCUAUUCUGGACGUUAACUUCAUAAAAUUAAUCUAACGCAUCUUGAGGGAAAUUAGUGCAUGCAGAUGCUAUCAUUUAUCACAAUUAUUUUAAAAGCCCUAAUCUCGCACUUCAUAGGAUUCUCCACCUCCACUUGCAUGUCAAGGGCUGCAAGAGGGUGCGUUUGCACGUGGAAACGCUGCAGCCUUUAAUCCGCCUGGCUGGGAGGAGCAGCCGUGGAGUAGGCAGUGGGCAGGCUCGCCCAGCGUGGAAGGAAGAGCCGUCCGUUUAACGCGCUAAUCCCCAGCGAGGCUGAGCAGGCGCAGGGGCAGGCACGCGGGGCAAGGCAGAGGGUUGUGGCUUAGGUCAUUUACCUAAUGACCGCCAUGAGUUCAUGGCGGUUACAGGACGAGUAGCAGGGCAAUAACGAAAGGCGAUCCACAGCUUGCACCAGCAGCAUGGACAAAAGCAGAUGUGUGCACCGUGCCACCACCCGAAGAGCAGGUGCACGGUGUUUCAACUACGCACCGAGGGAAAGCAAAGCCCCAUAAUCUCCUGUCUUUUGUUUUUAGGUUAUUGUAUUAAUUUUCAAGUUUGCUUUGAUAAUCUGAGCUUGCAUGGAAAGUGCCUGUCGGUGGACUGGCAGCAGUGAGUGCGUGCACGAGACAGAGACCGCUGCCCUGGAGAAGCAUCUCGCGUUCAGAAGGCCCGACAACCUUACCUUAAGGGUGACCCUUGGUUGAUGCUUUGAAGCUGGGCAAGAGGUGGGCAGCCAUUAUUUGACUGUUGAACCCUACUCUGCAAGCACUCUUGAAGAAAUAAAAAUGAAUCUGUCUUGCUAGUAUGCUUAAAAGCAAAGAUCAGAAGAGACUUUAAAAAUGAAUUAUUUGGCAUGAUCAGUUGACCUGGAAUGGUAAAAUCAGCACCCAGGAAGAUCAAAGUUGGUCUCCAAAAUCCUAAAAACUCUAAUUGACGUAGCAGUGACGGAUGCUGCUGCUUUAGGCCUUGUUCCAGCAAAGCACUUAAGCAUGGACUUAACUUGGAGCUGGGAGGAGUCCCAUUGGCUUCAGAGGAGCUCUGGACUGGGUUAAGUGCUUUCCCGUGUGGACAAAUUAGCAGAUUUGUUUCAGUUGCAGCUCUGGAUCCCUUCUCUGAGGUCAUAUUGGAUUUCCACCUGUCAAUCCCUGUUGAUCUAACUUGUGCCAACGUGUUAUUUGCAUUACCAACACGCUACAUGUGGGAAUGGAUGGUCCCUUUUGAAAUUACAGCUCACAGAGAGACUCUAGAAGCAAUAGUACAAAAAUGAAGAAGGUUGGAAACCAAAUUAAAGAACAAGUUGCUAACGUUCCUCAAAAAUGCAUGUUUUUACCGAAAUGACAUGUUUUGUGAUGGUAUUUAAUUUGUAUUUGAUUAUUACCUAACUUGGGAAGAAAUGUUCUGAAGAUGUUGAGCAGAAGUCGCUCAACUUUCUUCAUAAAGAUAAAUUCCUUAUUUAGAAUCGCAGAAUUUUAUACUCUGAAGUAUAAAAUUCCAGGAGAAUCCUUAGCAAAAGUCACUACUCUACACUUCUUGCCUUUAAGGCUAUCCCAUAACUGUGUUUAACUAAUCAGUGCUCCGGAACUUCCAGAUGCAACAGAUAAAGGAUUUGUAAACGAUUUCCCUAUCUACAUCUUAAUUUCAUAGCAACAGCUAUGUAAUUUAUGGGAUUCCAUGCAGAAUAGCAGGGCUAAUGAUGAGCAAAUGCUUUUUUGAAGUUGUACCACAUAUAAGCUGUUGUGUAUGGUAAAAGAGAUGAAAACAGACCUCUUCUGAGACCCAAAGCUUCUGCCCUUUUCCCACAAACGCUGGCAAAGGCCGAGGCAGCGAAGCAGCGCUCUGGAGAGCUCGGAGUCGACCUCAGAGGUUGUCCCCGCAACGGCGAGGGAGCUUGGGGCUGGCCGGGCAGCCAGGCCACCUCCGGUGUAUUAAGGCACUGACAGUAACAUAUUUGUAGACAUUUCCCAAAUCCUCAUUAAAUACCUUAUCUUCUGGAAACGUAUCUAAUUUCCUAGGAUCUUUUCUGUCUUCAGUGAGUAUGAGGCACAGAGUUCACUGGUGCUUAUAAAAAAAAAAAAAUUUUUUUUUGUAUCUACAAAAGAGCGUGUAAAUGCUUAAGGUAAAACUAAUUUCUGCUAGAAAUGUCUCCAGUUUCUUUUGUAAUUAAAUCUACUGGGCUAAUUUUCUAUUCAGACAUGCUGGUAUCAAAACAACGUAGCCAAAUGCAGAACAUGGAAAACCUCUAGAGUGGAGAGGAAUUGAGUUUCUUCAGUUUCCAUCACUGUGACGAUAAUAGGUGAAGUGAACCUUUUUCACAGCCCUGGAUUGACACGCAGGUGCAUGUCGUCAUGGAGGAACUGCUAAGAAACCUGCCUGCCUGCUCCUGCAAAGCGAGGAAAACCUGCCCCUGGGAGUGUGCCAUGUGCCCUCGGCCCUCACCAGCCUUUCCCGUGGGAAUCCCUUUGCCUGCUGGAGUCCGCUUCCCUCAGAAACCCUUCGCAGUGCCUGUUAGCCUUUGAGGGUUGACCUACUGGAAAGCAGCUCUGCAGAGAAAGACCUGGGAGUC